RNAcentral lists this ribosomal RNA (589 nucleotides) under Penicillium sp. C_1_BESC_294d. Its description in RNAcentral is "eukaryotic LSU rRNA". It matches the Rfam family "Eukaryotic large subunit ribosomal RNA", at positions 1 to 595 of the family's 3401-position model. The record is from RNAcentral. Lineage: Eukaryota; Fungi; Ascomycota; Eurotiomycetes; Eurotiales; Aspergillaceae.
ACCUCGGAUCAGGUAGGAGUUACCCGCUGAACUUAAGCAUAUCAAUAAGCGGAGGAAAAGAAACCAACCGGGAUUGCCUCAGUAACGGCGAGUGAAGCGGCAAGAGCUCAAAUUUGAAAUCUGGCCCCUUUGGGGUCCGAGUUGUAAUUUGCAGAGGAUGCUUCGGGUGCGGUCCCCAUCUAAGUGCCCUGGAACGGGCCGUCAUAGAGGGUGAGAAUCCCGUCUGGGAUGGGCGGCCGCGCCCGUGUGAAGCUCCUUCGACGAGUCGAGUUGUUUGGGAAUGCAGCUCUAAGCGGGUGGUAAAUUUCAUCUAAAGCUAAAUACUGGCCGGAGACCGAUAGCGCACAAGUAGAGUGAUCGAAAGAUGAAAAGCACUUUGAAAAGAGAGUUAAACAGCACGUGAAAUUGUUGAAAGGGAAGCGUUGUCCACCAGACUCGCCCGGGGGGGUUCAGCCGGCACGUGUGCCGGUGUACUCCUCUCCGGGCGGGCCAGCAUCGGUUUGGGCGGCUGGUGAAAGGCCCCGGGAAUGUAACACCCCUCGGGGUGCCUUAUAGCCCGGGGUGCCAUACAGCCAGCCUGGACCGANGC